UGGGGGAUAUUGCACAAUGGGCGAAAGCCUGAUGCAGCGACGCCGCGUGGGGGAUGAAGGCCUUCGGGUUGUAAACUUCUUUUGCUCUGAACAAGGCAUGCCUUUGGGGUGUGUUGAGUGUAGGGGUUGAUUAGCGCCGGCUAACUACGUGCCAGCAGCCGCGGUAAUACGUAGGGCGCGAGCGUUGUCCGGAAUUAUUGGGAGUAAAGGGCUUGUAGGUGGGUGGUUGCGUCUGUCGUGAAAGCUCAUGGCUUAACUGUGGGUUUGCGGUGGGUACGGGCUGGCUUGAGUGCAGUAGGGGGGGCUGGAAUUCCUGGUGUAGCGGUGGAAUGCGGAGAUAUCAGGAGGAAUACCGGUGGCGGAGGCGGGUCUCUGGGCUAUUGCUGACGCUGAGGGGCGAAAGGGUUGGGAGCGAACAGG
RNAcentral lists this ribosomal RNA (420 nucleotides) under Fusobacteriota bacterium. Its description in RNAcentral is "Fusobacteria bacterium partial 16S ribosomal RNA". It matches the Rfam family "Bacterial small subunit ribosomal RNA", at positions 355 to 776 of the family's 1533-position model. Lineage: Bacteria; Fusobacteriati; Fusobacteriota. The record is from RNAcentral.